RNAcentral lists this transfer RNA (76 nucleotides) under Acidobacteriota bacterium. RNAcentral describes it as "Acidobacteria bacterium (freshwater sediment metagenome) tRNA-Lys". It matches the Rfam family "tRNA". Rfam says of the family: Transfer RNA (tRNA) molecules are approximately 80 nucleotides in length. Their secondary structure includes four short double-helical elements and three loops (D, anti-codon, and T loops). Further hydrogen bonds mediate the characteristic L-shaped molecular structure. tRNAs have two regions of fundamental functional importance: the anti-codon, which is responsible for specific mRNA codon recognition, and the 3' end, to which the tRNAs corresponding amino acid is attached (by aminoacyl-tRNA synthetases). tRNAs cope with the degeneracy of the genetic code in two manners: having more than one tRNA (with a specific anti-codon) for a particular amino acid; and 'wobble' base-pairing, i.e. permitting non-standard base-pairing at the 3rd anti-codon position. Lineage: Bacteria; Pseudomonadati; Acidobacteriota. RNAcentral also lists the same sequence under 2 other names. The record is from RNAcentral.
GGGCCGUUAGCUCAGUUGGUAGAGCCGCGGACUUUUAAUCCGAAGGUCGUAGGUUCGAUUCCUACACGGCCCACCA